CAAUGAUCGGAGUACCAAAAAAUGUGAGAUACAAGGGUAUUUGAAACAAGUAAGCUGAGUAUAAGCAUAUUGAAACCUGUUAUUUUGCAACUAGUUCAACAACUGUUGAACAUUUAAGGACCUCGAUUCGCAAAACCGACAUAUUGAACACAUCCCCCAACAAUUUGCAUUUCUUUAUGGCCCUCAGAAGUAUUUUCUAGCCAAACUGCCCAACUCCCCCACUCUCGUUACGCAAUGCAAACAGCUUCCAACUAGUGCUCGACUCUGGCUGCUUUAUGUCUUUCCAUUAUUGAUGACUUAAUUCCGCUUGAUUUAUUGAGGCCACAAACAGCCGGUCAGCGAGCCAUGUUUUGCAAUGGCCGGAACCAGGAGUCAGGACCUGGCCGGGAUACCCAUUUGGUAUGCACACGUACUGCGUACUGGGCCAAAUGGAGGCACUCGAUGGAGAGGUUGGAGCCAACAGACCUAGCAUCUGUGCUUGGCCAGAACGUGUUUAAUAAAUAAGCCCAGUUAAUAUGGCGCAAAAAGUUUCGGGCCAAAGCAAUGUAAGCAGAACCCAUAUAUUGUAGAAUAUAAUCACUCGCACAUAGAAAAAAAUUCAUUUUAAUAUACUGAGCCCUUUGAAUUCAAUAU
Non-coding RNA from Drosophila melanogaster (fruit fly), 633 nucleotides. Lineage: Eukaryota; Metazoa; Arthropoda; Insecta; Diptera; Drosophilidae. The record is from Ensembl.